GGGGUCAUAGCUCAGCUGGGAGAGCGCCUGCCUUGCACGCAGGAGGUCGUCGGUUCGAUCCCGACUGGCUCCA
RNAcentral lists this transfer RNA (73 nucleotides) under Candidatus Berkiella cookevillensis. RNAcentral's name for it is "Legionella-like amoebal pathogen CC99 tRNA". It matches the Rfam family "tRNA". Rfam says of the family: Transfer RNA (tRNA) molecules are approximately 80 nucleotides in length. Their secondary structure includes four short double-helical elements and three loops (D, anti-codon, and T loops). The record is from Rfam by way of RNAcentral. RNAcentral also lists the same sequence under 1 other name. Lineage: Bacteria; Pseudomonadati; Pseudomonadota; Gammaproteobacteria; Candidatus Berkiellales; Candidatus Berkiellaceae.